CAACCCGAUGCAAACUGCGAAUACCGGAGAAUGUUAUCACGGGAGACACACGGCGGGUGCUAACGUCCGUCGUGAAGAGGGAAACAACCCAGACCGCCAGCUAAGGUCCCAAAGUCAUGGUUAAGUGGGAAACGAUGUGGGAAGGCCCAGACAGCCAGGAUGUUGGCUUAGAAGCAGCCAUCAUUUAAAGAAAGCGUAAUAGCUCACUGGUCGAGUCGGCCUGCGCGGAAGAUGUAACGGGGCUAAACCAUGCACCGAAGCUGCGGCAGCGACACUAUGUGUUGUUGGGUAGGGGAGCGUUCUGUAAGCCUGUGAAGGUGGCCUGUGAGGGUUGCUGGAGGUAUCAGAAGUGCGAAUGCUGACAUAAGUAACGAUAAAGCGGGUGAAAAGCCCGCUCGCCGGAAGACCAAGGGUUCCUGUCCAACGUUAAUCGGGGCAGGGUGAGUCGACCCCUAAGGCGAGGCCGAAAGGCGUAGUCGAUGGGAAACAGGUUAAUAUUCCUGUACUUGGUGUUACU
This 517-nucleotide ribosomal RNA is filed under the name Escherichia coli. RNAcentral describes it as "partial 23S ribosomal RNA". It matches the Rfam family "Bacterial large subunit ribosomal RNA", at positions 940 to 1455 of the family's 2925-position model. Lineage: Bacteria; Pseudomonadati; Pseudomonadota; Gammaproteobacteria; Enterobacterales; Enterobacteriaceae. The record is from RNAcentral.